This 72-nucleotide transfer RNA is filed under the name Camelus bactrianus (Bactrian camel). It matches the Rfam family "tRNA". Rfam says of the family: Transfer RNA (tRNA) molecules are approximately 80 nucleotides in length. Their secondary structure includes four short double-helical elements and three loops (D, anti-codon, and T loops). RNAcentral also lists the same sequence under 1 other name. Lineage: Eukaryota; Metazoa; Chordata; Mammalia; Artiodactyla; Camelidae. The record is from Rfam by way of RNAcentral.
AGGGGUAUAGCUCAGUGGUAGAGCGCGUGCUUGGCAUACAUAAGGUCCUGGGUUCAAACCCCAGUGCCUUCA